AAAUAUCUAUUUCAAUUCUGAAAAGCAUAAUUUAAAAAAUAUCUAAUCUUUUUUUCUCUGUUUUUGUUUGUGUUUAUUUAUUUCUAGAAAAGAAUAGCUAGCAUGAUGUAUUUCAAGUUUCUGGCAUGUCAUUUUCACUGAGACGUCUGAAGACCAGAAAGACUUUGCAGAAUUUCAAAACACUUAUUAGAUGGUUUUGAGACUAGCAGAUUAAUACACAUUUGGUUUUUCAAUGUACAGCCGUAAAUGGACAUGGAAUGACCAAAAAGCUGCAUUAAGCUUCAUGGAGACCAUUCAGUUUUCCACAGUAGUGUUUGGUGUAUACAGUAAAGAAGAUAGAGAGAAGGAGAGGAAGCUAGUGAGAGGGAGGGGGAGAAAAGAGGGACUUUACUGGGUUGCAUAAUGAUAGUCAAAAUAGUUUAAGGAAAGCAAAAUUUUAUAAUAAAUUAAUACAUUUAGCCUUUUUUAUUUCUCUUAAAAUUUUUGUUUGGACCCAGAAUAAAUUUUUAUUUAACUUAUAUUUCUCAGUGUUGACAUAAGGUACAAAUUCAUUAAAUUUUUACCUUUGCCAGAAUUACUCUUUUUACCUUUAUACACCAAUAAAAGGAUGAUAAAAUUUAAGUUUAAAGAGAUUACAUUUAGGCCAGGCACGGUGGCUCGUGCUUGUAAUCCCAGCACUUUGGGAGGCUGAGGCGGGCAGAUUACUUGAGGACAAGAGUUCAAGAUCAGCCUGGCCAACAUGGCGAAACCUCUCUCUACUAAAAAUUAGCUGGUGUUGGUGCACUUGCCUCUCGUCCCAGCUACUCGGGAGGCUGAGGCACGAGAAUGGUUUGAACUCAGGAGCCAGAGGUUACUGUGUGCUGAGAUUGUGCCACUGCAUUCCAGCCUGGGCAACAAAGUGACACUGUCUGAUAAAACAAACAAACAGACAGAAAGUUUACAUUUAAAUUUGUUUCUAUUUAUAACUCGUUCUCUUUAUUUUACCAAGUUCUAAAUAUAAUUUCUCUAAUUUAUUUGGGUAGAUAAGAUUAAUAAUUCAAGACUUGAUUCUAGAAAACAUAAUCAAAUUUGUUAAGUAACCUGAAUGUGGAUUUUGGUCACUCAAAUCUCUUUUCCUUAAUGUGUGUCAUAAAUGCAUAACAUGACAUUAUUACUAACAACUGUAAAAUACUCCACACAUCAUAAAGUUGAAUGUACAAUUCAUUGAAUUAGUAAAAAAUCCAUGUUAAUUUCAUAAAUGUUCCUAUAGACAACACACAUUUCACUAUAGAUGUGCAAGUACAUUAUCUUAUAUUGUUUGCUUGCUAACUAAUUAAAAUUAUUUUUUCUAUAAUAUUAUAGAAGAGGUUUAUGGCAAUAAUCAACCGGUCUCCUAAAUCUAUGGUUUCCUUGUUAUAUGUUUUGUGGAUAAAAUUGAUUGAAUAAAUGAUAUUUCUCAUAAUCAGUUAAAGGAUGGUAAAAUGCUUUUUCACAAUAUUUAUUCAAAAGUUGC
RNAcentral lists this long non-coding RNA (1492 nucleotides) under Homo sapiens (human). Its description in RNAcentral is "HSALNT0204758". The record is from RNAcentral. Lineage: Eukaryota; Metazoa; Chordata; Mammalia; Primates; Hominidae.